Long non-coding RNA from Tympanuchus pallidicinctus (lesser prairie-chicken), 7115 nucleotides. RefSeq lists it as uncharacterized. Lineage: Eukaryota; Metazoa; Chordata; Aves; Galliformes; Phasianidae. The record is from RefSeq and is a predicted model, not a curated record. The transcript is spliced from 4 exons.
CAUGUACCUGAUGCAGUUCAGCAUGCUGCCACAUGCUCUGCCUCCCUCCUGAGAAAGGAGACACAGCAGCCCAGGAGGACUGCGUGCACACAAGGCCACCACGCAUCCAGACUACAGGAUUUCAGUGAGGUUUUGACUGAUACGUAGAAAGAACCAUUUGAGCUAAAGAAAAUGCUAGAAAUACAUAAUCACUUUCUUUGAAAGUAUUUAGACCAUCUCUCCUGGGAAGGACUGUAUCAAGGGUGGAGACGAGCCACAGAAACUCCCAGCAUGAGAUAACACCAGUAUGUGAUUCGGGAGAAGUGGAUCAUCAAUCAGCCAGACUUGUAAUAAGGAUAACACCACCGUGUGCACACAAGCAUUGCACAACACGAUUGGCCCCGAGCACCCUGCCCAUCAGCACCCUUCCACUGAGCUGAAGUUAGGACCAUUCCUCCAGUCUCAUUCAGAGCUUCCACCUUAAUCUCUCAGCCUGCCUAAAUACAGUGCUAGCCAAAUAAUUUAGGGGUGGGAAUAACUAUUUUGUGUGAAACACAAGCCUGAAAAGCAAAACCCGAUGCUUUCAUGAAAAACAAACAAACAAACAAACAAAAAACAAAACAAAACCAAACACCUGCAUCCUUUCUUAGGGGAAAAAAAUAAGAUUAUUUGGAGAACUAACCUCCAAAUGCAAGUCAUCUUUAGGAAAAGGAUACUUUAAAGAACAAAAAUCUUCGGUUUAUUGUACUAAAUAUGUAAACUCUUAAGGGUUUCCUAAUAAGUCUGCUAAGUAUCCUACACAAAUUUGCUGGGUAAAGAAUCCUAACAUGCUUCAUAAAAAGCCAAUCGAAGAAUGCACUGUGUUAUUCUGCACAAGAAUUAUAAGCUUUCAAAAUACAUUUAAACAUAAGAGUGUAGAAAAGCAAUAGUGAAUGUGACUCUCCAUAUCCUGUAGGAUGGCAGGAAGAUGGAAGCACUCCUUCAGCCCUUGCACAGCCAGUGGCUCACUGCAGCACACCUCAGCAUUUUAUAAUGCAAGUCCCUUCCAACCCAAGACAUACUGUGUUGUUCUUUGACAGUGCUCUGCAAAAAAAGUAAAAUCCACUGAGUUGGCCAAAAAAUGCAUUCACUAAACUCAUGCAAGAUGCAAAAAUAGUACUUUUUGGAAGAAAUUCAACUGGAUCUGGCUUGUGUCCAACAACAAUUAAUAUACUGAAUUCUUGGGCAGCUAAAUAAAGCAGCUUCUGCCCACUGAACUUUCAGGAAAUGGCAUUGUGGAAGGCUAAAAAAAGUUGGCUCUAUCAAAGACUAUGCAUUCUAUUUCCCCAGUGCAGUCCAUUCUACCCUCCCUUUUUCAAGAGUAUCUGCAUUUAAAUUCAUUUUGAGGUAGUUUGGCAGUAUGAACUAGAGCACACAAUUCCUCUGUCUAUUGGAGCUAUAUGAUUGUUACCAUUCAGCUUUCUAGGCAUGUCUUCUUAAAGAAUCUCUACAGACGUUUAAGGAGAGGGAGCAGCAAAUACUGCAUUGUAAGAGAAGCAAGCCAGCACUCUCCUCUAAGAUCCUUUUAUUCAUUUCCUUUAAGGAAAACAUAGCAGCUGCCCCACACCUUUGUGUAAAACAACAGAACUCCAUGACUUCACAGCACCAGCACUGGGCAGCCCACCACAAGCACCUGCCUCCCACACAAGCAGUAACCCUGUGCAGAGCUGGGGGCUCUCUUCAAGCUGGCAUGCACCCACACCAGCCCUAACAGCAGCCAAUACUUGUGCCUACAGGCUGCACACUCAUCCUCUGCCCCACUGCUGCUGGAUUCAAGCCACAGCUAUGCCUUCAACAGAGAUACUCUGCAGGCAGAGGGAACGGACUUCAGGGAUUACAAGUUUCAAACUGAGGCACCUCAAAUAAAAGAAUCAAUAGGGAAGGCUGGGAGCAAAGUAAAAAAGACGCAGCUUUGCGUGUCACUGAGUUACUGUACCUCAGACAGCAGAUACUUGAUAGGUAAAAUGGACAACCAUUGCAAAAAAUUAAGUUGUAAUACGUAGUGGAGCAGGAGGCAGAAAGAAAAUCUGAAUGAUCUUAAGUCAGUGUAAUCUCAUUUUCCAAGCACCAAUUUCUGAUCAUUUCUUUUCCUAUUUUAUUCAGUAUUCAAGAAGUUCCUUUCUAGCAUCUUCCCCACACACUGCUCUGUAUAUCAGCAGCAUACAGAGCAUGUCUGGGAUGCUCUAAUUUCCAUGCAGCUGGUAGUAAUUCAUCUUUCACAGAGCUGUAGAUGGCUGAAAUUGCAUUCCAAGGAAGCAUGCUCCCUUUAAUAAGAACAAUCAAAUGCUAUGAUUUGUAGGAAGUAACUUUUUCCCUCCACCUUUUUAUUAUUGGCAAGAUGUCAACAGAUUAUUAAAUUGCAGGGAGCACAAUCUAUGAUAAAUAACCUUGCUGCAUAUCAGACCCAACACCCCCCUCCUCUGUGUUCAGACAUAUACCUUUGUUUUCCAAAACAAUUCUGAUUUACAAAGAAUUACAGAUUACUGAUGGAGUCAGAGCACUGAAUGAAGUACCGCAGGUGAGCAUGAUUGGCACAGCUUCUGCAAGCCUUGGUUUCUGGGAAAAGAAACCAAGUACAAGCAAGAAAGCAACCUUCUGUAUGUGGCAGCUGCAAGACCACUGCUGGCAUAGUACAUGCUGUCUGUGAGUGAAAUACACCACCAUGAAAAAUUGGAAAAGACCCCCCAGAAAACACAAGGCUGUCUUCAGGUCUUAAAUCAACUGCACUAAGAAGUUGAAGACGUUAAACCCACUUACUUAAUCAAAGACACUUAAAGCAUCACCUGAUCAUAGACUGCAAUUCCUUAGAGACAAAAUGUCAAAGCUGGAAAAGCAAGCUGGAUUGAGAGAAAAAGCACAUUGUAAAGAUAAUUAUCCUUCACAUACUUUACUGAAGAGUGUAAAAGAAUUGCCAGCAGAUAUUAAAAUGCACUGCAUGUCUAAGAUACGUAGGUUACUAAAUUCGAGUGCAGAGAUACAGGGAUGCAAAUUAUCUCCCCAGAGCUACACAGUGUCCAUGACAGAGCUAAGAACAACCUGAAUGCAAAGCCAAACACUUCAAUCACAAAAACUGUCCUACUUCCAUUGUCUCAGCCUGUAUCCAGAAGUACAAAAUCACUGAGAGAAGAGAGAGAUGAAAAUAUGUCUCACGAACACUUCUAACCCACCUAGAAGCACACUAGUAGCGAGUAGCACAGCUACAUUCACUGUGUAAAGCUCUCAUGUUCAGACCAAGCUAUUUGGACCCAGGGUGUGAACUUCUGGUACUCAAAAUAUUCAACUUUCUGAAUCAAGUAGGCUGACGCAGAUCCUCUGUUGAAAGAGGCAAAAAAGUCCUGUGUUGCUUAAUGCCUUUUAGAUGAGGGGUUGGAGUGCUCAAGGAUGCAAUUCCCACUCCACCUCUCCCCUGAGAAUGACUGGUUCGCAUCCAGCUCAGAGCAGAAAUGUCAAGUACCAUCAUGUGCGCUCCUGAUAGACUUGGAGAGGUAAGGGAAUAGCCUGAGUGCAGCUCCCAGAAGACAAGUACACAUAUAGGACAAGUCCCUGUGGAUCAGCCUGGCAGCGCUCCGAGGAGAAGAGCAACAGGAGCAAGCAGAGGGAAGGCUGCAGAAAAGUGGUGGCCAGGACCCUGUGGUGCAGAGGUGAAUUAGCAAGAGAACUCACUGAGGCUUCAUCUUGACAGCUUCAACUCCUUUAGACCCAGUGAAGACUUGCUUCAAAUAAAUUACUUCCACGCACAGGGAGAAGCAGGGUUUGUAACAGCAGCUCCAAGCAGAACAUAGCAGUGAGCUACACCUCGCUCUGCAGCACAGGCAAAGUAAGGAGAGACAGAAGCCUGUAAGGAGCCGUGCUACAAUACAGCACUGUCUGAGCUGACUCCUGCAGCAGCAGCACCCUGCACAGUGCCCCUGCUCACCUCGCUCCAGGCUCGCCGUGGAGCUGCCUCUGGUUCUUCACUCUGUACCCACUGCCAUUUCACUGGGAACGUCUGUAGUUCCUCCCACAAACUGCUGCAGCCCUGAGAUACAAAUAGCAGCAAGGUCUUCUAGCAAGGCCUAGGAGACAGCUCUGAACUGGGAAAACUAAGUUAUUAAGGACCAUGUUGGUGCAGGGUUUCAGCUGAAACAAUACUUAAAUCUCUCUCCCUGCCAUGGCUAUGGUAAUACCACACAACUACUCAUUAUCCUUAUCUUAACUAGAGAAGCUCCUUUCAAUUUAGCACUUAAUGUAAUUAGAGCAAAUUAAAUCGUGUUCAGAAAAAAUCUUAUUUUACCAGAGCUAUUAUAUUACCUCUACAAAACUGUCAGUUAAAAGCUAUUAAACAAUGGGAGUUUGUAUCUACUCAGGGAGCAGAAGAGUGAGUUAUUAAACUGAAAUUUGCUUAAAUUCUAUUUCCAAAUUCAAUACCACAUCUCCAAAGGAAAAUGGUAGACUCUCAGUGGCAGCACAGUGACCCUGGCAGUACUGAAACACUUGAACACCAAUUCUCUGUUCUUUCAUAUAUUAUUUAUUUUUAAUAUGAGGAUUUGCAUUUCAGUAAAUACAGCAAACAAUUGCCUUUGUCCUUUCAGCAAAAUUAGCUCUGGCUAGAGAUGUACUGCUGACAUGUGAGAGACACAGAACAAAAGCAGCUGGCUGCCAUGAAGUCAAGUGGAAAAAAACACAUUCACUUCAAGGGGUUGAGGAUGUCAAAUACAGCAUGGGAGAUGAAAUCAGGGAAGCCAGAAGGGCACCAGGUAAAAAGCCGUGUGCGUUUACAUGUCACCUAAGAAACAUAUGAUAAGUGGUAAAAGCUUGAAGAACUGGAUAUUCCAAAAACUGACCUAAGCAAAAAAGUUCCUGUUUAGAGUAGUCCUAUUACAGUCAACGUGAUUUCAUUCGUGAGGACAAAUUGCAGAUACGAAUUUCACUCCUAUGUAUAUCUGUAGCACGGGAGACUGAAAAUUGCAAGCAGAGAUUUCUGGAAGCACAGUCUGUUUAAAGCAAUUAAUUUCUACGCUAUUACCCAGGGGGAGGUGGGUGAGGGUGGAAAUAGGCAACACAUCUGCAAGAGGUACCCAAGAAAGGUAGAUACAUCUCAGUAUGGUCAGUUUGUGUUCUCAUGAAUAAUAAAUGCUAGAUUGUAAUAUUUGAAUUGAUAUUAGAAUUUUAACAUGGUGCAAGCAUUCCAGACGUAGGGAAUAAAAUGUUAAGUAGGAAGUAUAUUUAUCAUCUCUCUGUUCAACAAUUGAGAGAACAUUACCAAUAAUUAGUAGCAGGCAUUAAAACUGCUUUCUGCUAACCACAGAUGUUGUUGGUCACAGCAAGGUUGAUAUUAAUGCAAUAAAGUCAGAUGAUGACAGCUUUACAGCAGAGGGCAACAUACUGGACACUUGUGGGAAAAUAAUCUUUAGCACCAUAGGGAUUAUUUGGGUUAAAUGACUUCUGAGUCACAGCUGGUUGUUCAGUGUCUCUCACCUGGUCUAUAUCUCCCUUUUAUUUCCUCACGAGGAGAGAAGAAAAAGAAAGUGGCACUGCUGCAGCCACUCCUUUCUCCUUUGGAGUUAAUACCCAGUAUCUUGCUGACACUAUGAGAAGGGUCUCAUUUAUAUUACAGAAUAGCCUAGCCAAAGCCAAGGCCACACUGCCACAUGGUGUGAACUUGCAGAAUGCAGACCAAGGAACCUGUAAUCCAAGCAGACACGAGCCAAGACAAAAAAAGACAAAAAAGGCACGUGGAGGCAAUGUGACAUACCCAUGGCCACAUACUUUAUCAGGGGCAUUUGUGGGCAGGAAACACUGCCACACUUCUCAGAUGUGCUCAUGGCUAUGGCAUCCUCCUGGCUUUGCAGCAUACCCCACCCUCUUCGAAGAGCAAGCUUGCAGCACCUAUGCUGAGGUUCUACAAGCCAGAACUUGAAUACUAACUCAUAACUCAGGCUUGGUUUACGCAGCCUCUAGCCCUGUUCAGGUAGAGCUGCUGGAGUCUGCUGCAGUGCACAGGUGUAUGAACAAAUGAGGAGAGGGUACUGCAGUGUGCUUCCACAGCCUGCAGUCCAGAGAGAAUUUCAGGUGAUAACAGAAGAGUAAUUAUAAGCAACAGAACCUGUGUGUGUAUCAUCAGUCACACCAGCAACAUGGGUCCUGUUUUGCAUUCAUCAACCCUGAGCUAAAAAACAAAAUCCCAAAACAACCCAUUUAUAUAUGUAUAUAUUUUUUCAAAUUACAUAUUCUUUUCACAGUGGGACAAAGAGAAAGACAAGGAGGAUGGAUCAAAUUAACAGACAUUAAAAGACAGUGUUUUUAAACCCAGCUUAAAAGCACAAAGAUGGUUUAUUUCAUGCCAAACACAUCUGUGCCCUUCUCCAGGCUGAUAAUAGGGAGUACCAUGGAAGACACCUUGUUUUACUGCCUUGCCCACUAGUGCUGCUGUAGGUACAGAGCAUUCAGUGUUCGCAGAAUGCCCUCAUAAUCCAAGUGAGGAUUUACUACUUUAUGGGGAAAAAACACUGAUAUUUCUCAGACUUGAACUAUCUUUGACCCACAUACAGAAAAAAGGUCACGAAGUGAUCUGAAAAUCCAGAUUUCUUUCCUCAGUAAGGUAAGGGGGAAAAAAACACUCACUGUAUCAGCGACUAUCAGGCUUGCAGCAUUGUCUGAGCUUCUAUUCAAAGCAGCACAGCAAGAAGCAGCAGAAAGAUUCAUUUCAUAAAAUGUAAAUCUCAUCUAUUUGCAGCCAUGCCAGGAGCUUACCAGAAUAAACCCCACAGGCCCAGCAUUAAUCCCAGUGGCAAUUUCACAUUCGACUUCCAGGGAUUUUACAGAUGAGCCAGCGGUGACUCCCUGAGCAAACGGUGUGAUGUUUGAUAAAUUGUCAAAAAGCCUCAUCACGUCCCUCUACUACACAAAAGUGCUUCUCUCCUGAUGCUGAAAAUCAUAUUAAAACACACCAAAAUAGUUGGGUUUUUUUUUCUUUUUCUUUUCCUUUUUCUUCUGCCAAGAUUACCCACAGUGAGCAUUAGCAACCCACACCAUGCUACAUAGCAGAGUUCCCUUCCUCUUCUCAAUGGAACAUGGCAAUUGUUCACUGCAAGGAAAGAAUUCCCCAUAAUUAUGAU